Molecule: ribosomal RNA, 356 nt
Filed under: uncultured bacterium
Lineage: Bacteria
Description: bacterial SSU rRNA
Rfam family: Bacterial small subunit ribosomal RNA
Source: RNAcentral
GGGCUCACACAAGCGGUGGAGGAUGUGGCUUAAUUCGAGGCUACGCGAAGAACCUUAUCCUAGAUUUGACAUGCUUGAGAAUCCCUAUGAAAAUAGAGAGUGCCCUUCGGGGGAGCUCUUGCACAGGUGCUGCAUGGCUGUCGUCAGCUCGUGUCGUGAGAUGUCGGGUUUAAGUCCCUUAACGAGCGAAACCCUUAUCUCUAGUUGCCAGCGGGUAAUGCCGGGGACUCUAGAGAGACUGCCGGUGUCAAACCGGAGGAAGGUGGGGAUGACGUCAAGUCCUCAUGGCCUUUAUGUCUAGGGGCUGGCACACGUCCUACAAUGGUACGGACAAACGGACGCAAUACCGCGAGGUG